RNAcentral lists this ribosomal RNA (440 nucleotides) under uncultured bacterium. RNAcentral's name for it is "partial 16S ribosomal RNA". It matches the Rfam family "Bacterial small subunit ribosomal RNA", at positions 338 to 795 of the family's 1533-position model. The record is from RNAcentral.
CCUACGGGAGGCAGCAGUGGGGAAUAUUGCACAAUGGGGGAAACCCUGAUGCAGCGACGCCGCGUGAGUGAAGAAGUAUUUCGGUACGUAAAGCUCUAUCAGCAGGGAAGAAAAUGACGGUACCUGACUAAGAAGCCCCGGCUAACUACGUGCCAGCAGCCGCGGUAAUACGUAGGGGGCAAGCGUUAUCCGGAUUUACUGGGUGUAAAGGGAGCGUAGACGGCAGCGCAAGUCUGGAGUGAAAUCCCAUGGCUUAACCAUGGAACUGCUUUGGAAACUGUGCAGCUAGAGUGCAGGAGAGGUAAGCGGAAUUCCUAGUGUAGCGGUGAAAUGCGUAGAUAUUAGGAGGAACACCAGUGGCGAAGGCGGCUUACUGGACUGUAACUGACGUUGAGGCGCGAAAGCGUGGGGAGCAAACAGGAUUAGAUACCCGGGUAGUC